CACUGACAUUAGAUACCCGCGUAGUCCAGGGUGUAAACGCUGCAGACUUGGUGUUGGAAAUCCUUCGAGGGUAUUCAGUGCCGGAGAGAAGUUGUUAAGUCUGCUACUUGGGGAGUACGUCCGCAAGGAUGAAACUUAAGGAAUUGGCGGGGAGCACCGCAACGGGAGGAGCGUGCGGUUUAAUUGGAUUCAACACCGUAAACUCACCAGGGAAGACUGUUACAUGAAGGCCGAGAUGAAGACUCUGCUAGAUUUUCAG
RNAcentral lists this ribosomal RNA (259 nucleotides) under uncultured archaeon. RNAcentral's name for it is "partial 16S ribosomal RNA". It matches the Rfam family "Archaeal small subunit ribosomal RNA", at positions 720 to 982 of the family's 1478-position model. The record is from RNAcentral.